This 673-nucleotide ribosomal RNA is filed under the name Kiefferulus glauciventris. Its description in RNAcentral is "partial large subunit ribosomal RNA". It matches the Rfam family "Eukaryotic large subunit ribosomal RNA", at positions 298 to 944 of the family's 3401-position model. The record is from RNAcentral. Lineage: Eukaryota; Metazoa; Arthropoda; Insecta; Diptera; Chironomidae.
GGUCAACGCCACCUAAGACCAAUAUCUAAACGGAGAAAUUCAAUACUACCGUCAAACGUAGUGUGCACUUUUCUCUUAGUAAGACGCCGUGAUCCAUUAGAAAUUGAUACAUACAAAAUGUAUAUUGGGUCAUCAAUAGGCCAGCAUGAAGUUUAUUGGAACAAAUGGCAUCAUCAUUUACGGUUGUGUGUAUUGUCUAGUAAGCAUGUUGUGUCCUGGAAUGACUGUCUGAUGGAUUUUAAAGAUAUUAUCAAUGAUGUCAAGGCAUCACUUACGAUUAUAGUAAGAAUUCUCUCGAUAUGUGUCUGAUCAACGGUGGUUAAAUUUGGGAUACCUUUUGGACCCGUCUUGAAACACGGACCAAGGAGUCUAUCUAGUAUGCGAGUAAAUGGAUAGUUAAUGAAAUCUAUUUGCAAAAUAAACUUGACUGUUUUUAUUGGGAAUACCAAUUGAUUUAAUCCGGCCUUCUUUCCUUUCCGGGGGAAUUUUAACAAACAUAGGCUUUGGCAUAGGAAAAAUAUUCCAUGGGCCACCUGGAAACCACCCCAAAAAAGGGGAACUUAGCCUGAACCGGGCCAAAUUCGGGGAAACCCUGGAGGGGGACCCAAGCAGUUCUAACGGGCAAAUCCAUUGGCCAAAUUGGGCCUGGGGCCAAAAAACCAAUCGAACCCUU